CCUACGGGCGGCAGCAGUGAGGAAUAUUGGUCAAUGGGCGCGAGCCUGAACCAGCCAAGUAGCGUGAAGGAUGACUGCCCUACGGGUUGUAAACUUCUUUUAUAAAGGAAUAAAGUGAGGCACGUGUGCCUUUUUGUAUGUACUUUAUGAAUAAGGAUCGGCUAACUCCGUGCCAGCAGCCGCGGUAAUACGGAGGAUCCGAGCGUUAUCCGGAUUUAUUGGGUUUAAAGGGAGCGUAGAGGGUUUGUUAAGUCAGGUGUGAAAGUUUGCGGCUCAACCCUAAAAUUGCCGUUGAUACUGGCAGUCUUGAGUACAGUAGAGGUAGGCGGAAUUCGUGGUGUAGCGGUGAAAUGCUUAGAUAUCACGCAGAACUCCGAUUGCGAAGGCAGCUUGCUAACCCGCCACUGACAUUGAUGCUCGAAAGUGUGGGUAUCAAACAGGAUUAGAUACCCCUGUAGUC
This 460-nucleotide ribosomal RNA is filed under the name uncultured bacterium. Its description in RNAcentral is "partial 16S ribosomal RNA". It matches the Rfam family "Bacterial small subunit ribosomal RNA", at positions 338 to 795 of the family's 1533-position model. The record is from RNAcentral.